CUGAAAACAAAUUAGUAGAAAACAGUGCCUCUACUUUUAAAAACUUCGAUCACAAAAUUUCUAAUCAAAUCAAAAUCCUAAUUUUACACUCUAAAUUACAUUACAAUGUUACACGAACUUCUACUCUCACUGUUAGGCUUCACCGGAGACCUAAUUAUUGACGACCAACAACACCGAUUAUCUGCCGCCGGCGACAACUUUAUCUCCGAUCAAUGCACUUUCAAACUCGCUUCAGAUAUUUCAUUUCUUCAACCUAGCGAACGAGAUAUUAUUGAGAGGGUGAUUACUUUAGGGUUUUACUAUCGUGAACUUGAUCGGUUUGCUACGAAGUCGCGUAAUUUAAGUUGGAUAAGUUCGAAAAACGUGUCUCCCUCUUUGUUAGGGGAAGAUAAGAUAAAGAGUCAGAGUGUGUACAAGAGGGCUAUCGCAAAUGGGAUUGUGGAGGUUCUGUCGGUUUACCGAUCUGCUGUUUUGCAUAUGGAGCAGAAGUUGCUUUCGGAUGCUCUGCCCAUUUUAGCAACGGUUACUCAGUCCUUGAACAAUUUUCAUGUUCUUUUGCCUCCUUUAUAUGAGCUGAUUCUUGAGAUCGAGCGUGAUGGGAUUUGUGGAGGGAAACUUCUUAAUCUUCUGCAUAAACGAUGCCAUUGUGGGGUGCCUGAAUUGCAGGCAUGCAUUCAAAGACUUCUAUGGCACGGGCAUCAGGUCAUGUAUAACCAACUUGCUUCCUGGAUGGUUUAUGGGAUUCUUCACGAUCAAUAUGGAGAAUUUUUCAUUUGCGAGCAAGAAGGAAACUCAGAGCGUGACUCAUCAUCCCACACAAACAUGACCGAGAAGUUAGCACGUAUGUCAGUUAAUGAUGGAUCUUUAAAUGAUUGGCACUUGGGAUUUCAUAUCUCCUUGGAUAUGUUGCCAGAAUAUAUUCCAAUCCAGGUGGCAGAAUCCAUUCUUUUUGCUGGCAAAGCAAUCCGGGUUCUUCGUAAUCCUAGUUCUGCCUUCCGUUCUGUGGAUGCUAGACAUAAAAAGCUGAUGGGGGAUGAACUACUGCCACAGUCAGAGGCUGAUAAGAUUGAAUCAAUGCUUAUAAACCUUAAGGAAUCAUCUGAGUUCCACAAAAGAUCAUUUGAGGGUGCUGUUGAUUCAAUCAGGGCUAUUGCAGCAAGCCAUCUUUGGCAGCUUGUGGUUGUACGUGCCGAUCUAAAUGGGCAUUUGAAGGCCAUCAAAGAUUACUUUCUUCUAGCAAAGGGUGAUUUCUUUCAGAGUUUUCUCGAAGAAAGCCGCCAGUUGAUGCGAUUACCCCCUAGGCAUUCAACUGCUGAAGCUGAUCUUAUGGUUCCAUUCCGUCUGGCUGUAACAAAGACCAUCAAUGACGAUGAUAAAUACUUUUCAAGAGUGACAUUACGGAUGCCUGCUAUUGGGAGUAAUGUUAAAUCUUCCAAAGUAGAUAUAUCAAGUUCCAAGCAUGCUGACAGUGAUUCAAAUUUGCUAUCUGAUACUUCUUUAGAGAUGUCCCUUGAUGGUUGGGAUGGUAUUGCCCUGGAAUAUUCUGUUGAUUGGCCUUUACAGUUGUUCUUCACACAAGAAGUUCUCUCGAGGUACCGUAGGAUAUUUCAGUAUUUACUGAGGCUAAAGCGAACACAAAUGGAGUUAGAGAAGUCAUGGGAAUCUGUAAUGCAACAAGAUCACUCAAUUUUUUCCAAACGUCACACUGAACGUGUGAAUGGAUCAAUGAUUCAACAGCGGCGCCAAUGCUUUAGACCUAUGUGGCGGGUGCGGGAGCAUAUGGCUUUUUUGAUUAGAAAUCUUCAGUUUUAUAUCCAGGUGGAUGUAAUAGAAUCCCAAUGGAAUGUAUUACAAACUCAUAUAGAGGAGUCACGGGAUUUUGCAGAGUUGGUGGACUUCCAUCAAGAAUACUUGUCAGCUUUGAUAUCACAAUCGUUCCUCGAUAUUGGUUCAGUAUCAAGGAUAUUGGAUGGGAUCAUGAAGCUCUGCUUGCAGUUCUGCUGGAAGAUUGAGAACCAGGAAACCAAUGCAAGCACCAAUGAGCUGGAACGUAUAUCCGAGGAAUUUAACAAGAAAUCAAAUUCCUUGUACACGAUAUUGCGUAGUAGCAGGCUUGCUGGUAGUCAGCGGGCCCCUUUUCUUAGACGUUUCCUUUUGCGACUGAAUUUUAAUUCCUACUUUGAGCAAACUGCCCAUGGAGUUAUGAACGUUGUCAGAACAAGACCAACAAUUCCACCUCUGCAGUGAUAGUGGCAGCAAAUCUUCCUAAAUUUUACAUUUUAUUCUGGUAAUCCUUUAAUAGAUGCAGAAGCUCCAAAAUUCGAUACGUUCAUCAUAUUGAAGAUUUUCUUGUAUUAGGAUUCAAGUAGAUAGCAGAAUUUGCUCGAGUCUGCAGCCCAGAAACUAGAACAGGCUAAUUUCCAAGCAGUGUUUUGAAAUAUGUGUGUGUGAUUGUCUUUCCUUGACAAGUGGACUAGAAAGCCGUGUGUAUGUAUACUUGUAUGCAGUGAGAAAUAUGUUCUUUUUUUUUUU
This is an RNA transcript of Erigeron canadensis, 2532 nucleotides long. It is a transcript of the gene named gamma-tubulin complex component 4 homolog, with no coding region annotated. Lineage: Eukaryota; Viridiplantae; Streptophyta; Magnoliopsida; Asterales; Asteraceae. The record is from RefSeq and is a predicted model, not a curated record. The transcript is spliced from 17 exons.